Molecule: ribosomal RNA, 237 nt
Filed under: uncultured bacterium
Lineage: Bacteria
Description: partial 16S ribosomal RNA
Rfam family: Bacterial small subunit ribosomal RNA
Source: RNAcentral
GGAACCUGCCUUGGAGAGGGGGAAUAACACUCCGAAAGGAGGUGCUAAUACCGCAUGAUGCAGUUGGGUCGCAUGGCUCUGACUGCCAAAGAUUUAUCGCUCUGAGAUGGCCUCGCGUCUGAUUAGCUAGUAGGCGGGGUAACGGCCCACCUAGGCGACGAUCAGUAGCCGGACUGAGAGGUUGACCGGCCACAUUGGGACUGAGACACGGCCCAGACUCCUACGGGAGGCAGCAUG